GAUGAAGAACGCAGCGAAAUGCGAUAAGUAAUGUUAAUUGCAGAAUUCAGUGAAUCAUCGAAUCUUUGAACGCACAUUGCGCCCGCCAGUAUUCUGGCGGGCAUGCCUGUUCGAGCGUCAUUUCAACCAUCAAGCCCCAGGCUUGUGUUGGAGCCCUGCGGCUGCCGCAGCCUCCCAAAACCAGUGGCGGGCUCGCUAUCACACCGAGUGCAGUAGUUUACUCUUCGCUCAGGGCGUGUGGCGGGUGCUAGCCGUAAAACCCCCAACUUCUCAAGGUUGACCUCGGAUCAGGUAGGAAUACCCGCUGAACUUAAGCAUAUCAAUAAGCGGAGGA
Molecule: unclassified non-coding RNA, 334 nt
Filed under: soil metagenome
Description: partial contains 5.8S ribosomal RNA, internal transcribed spacer 2, and large subunit ribosomal RNA
Rfam family: 5.8S ribosomal RNA (bases 1-120)
Source: RNAcentral